Molecule: ribosomal RNA, 549 nt
Filed under: uncultured bacterium
Lineage: Bacteria
Description: bacterial SSU rRNA
Rfam family: Bacterial small subunit ribosomal RNA
Source: RNAcentral
AGGGAAUAGAUACCCGGGUAGUCCUGGCCCUAAACGGUGCGUGUUUGCUGUAGGAGGAAUCGACCCCUUCUGUGGCGAAAGCUAAACGCGUUAAAAACACGCCGCCUGGGGAGUACGGUCGCAAGAUUAAAACUCAAAGAAAUUGACGGGGGCCGUGCACAAGCGGUGGAGUAUGUGGCUUAAUUCGAUGCAACGCGAAGAACCUUACCUGGCCUUGACAUGCAAGUGGUAGAACCAUGAAAGUGGGACGACCCCGCAAGGGGAGCUUGCACAGGUGCUGCAUGGCUGUCGUCAGCUCGUGUCGUGAGAUGUUGGGGUUAAGUCCCGCAACGAGCGCAACCCCUAUGUCCUGUUGCCACCCGAACGAGAGUUUGGAGCACUCUGGACAGACUGCCUCGCUUAAACGGGGAGGAAGGUGGGGAUGACGUCAAGUCAGUAUGGCCCUUACGGCCAGGGCUGCACACGUACUACAAUGCCCGCUACAAAGGGAAGCAAGACCGUCAGGUGGAGCCAAUCCCAGAAAAGCGGGCCCAGUUCAGAUUGUCGUCU